RNAcentral lists this transfer RNA (65 nucleotides) under Byrsotria fumigata. Its description in RNAcentral is "tRNA-Cys". The record is from RNAcentral. Lineage: Eukaryota; Metazoa; Arthropoda; Insecta; Blattodea; Blaberidae.
GGCUUUAUAUUCAACAGUGAUUAUAGAAUGCAAUUCUAUAGGGGUAAUAAUUAUUACUAAGGCUU